CAACCUGAGCUCAGUCGUGAUUACCCGCCGAACUUAAGCAUAUCAUUCAGCGGAGGAAAAGAAACUAACUAGGAUUCCCCAAGUAAUGGCGAAUGAAAGGGGAAGAGCCCAGCGCUGAAUCUCUCGGUCUUAGGCCGCUGAGAACUGUAGCGUAUAGGUGUGACUGUCCUGCUAUAUUGCAUUUCCGAAGUCUCUUUGAUAGGGGCCAACAUCCAGAGAGGGUGCGAGACCUGUACGGAAAGUAGUAUAGUUGGUAUGGUUACUCCUUGGAGUCGGGUUGCUUGAAAGUGCAGCCUAAAGUUGGUGAUAAACUUCAUCUAAGGCUAAAUAUCGACGCGAAAUCGAUAGCAAACAAGUACCGUGAGGGAAAGUUGCAAAGAACUUUGAAGAGAGAGUUCAAGAGAACGUGAAAUCGCUGAAGUGGAACCGGAGAGAGUUAACAUAACUUGGUAGCUAUAUCCUCUAAAGUCGCUUAACUGUGGCUCUGGGGGGUGGACGCUACCUGUUGUUGCACUGACUGCGUUGAUUGUGCUUUCCGAACAGUAUAGUGUUGCCCACUUUGUGGUGUCUUGCUUUCUGGGAGGUUUGUCAUAAUUAACGUAAAGCCAAUUCCCUUUGGAGUCAGUGUGAAAGUUAACCACCUUUCCGACCCGUCUUGAAACACGGACCGAGGAGUGUAACUCUAUACGCGAGUCAAGGGGUGGUGAAAACCCUAGGGGCGGAAUGAAAGUAAAGGCCGGUUAACCGGUUGACAUGGGAUCCGCUCUUCGGAGCGGCGCACCAUGGCCCUGUCUUGUCUGCUUGCAGAUGGGCAGCGGUAGAGCGUAUAGUUUGCGACCCGAAAGAUGGUGAACUAUGCUUGAGCAGGACGAAGCCAGAGGAAACUCUGGUGGAAGUCCGUAUCGGUUCUGACGUGCAAAUCGAUCGAUAGACUUGGGUAUAGGGGCGAAAGACUAAUCGAACCGUCUAGUAGCUGGUUCCCUCCGAAGUUUCCCCCAGGAUAGCUGGAGUAGUGGUGCGUGGUUAUAUCCGGUAAAGCGAAUGAUUAGAGGACUUGGGGGCGAAACGAUCUCAACCUAUUCUCAAACUUUCAAUGGGUAUGAUGUCUCGGUUUCUUUAUUGAACUGUUGACAUGAACGUGUGCUCCAAGUGGGCCAUUUUUGGUAAGCAGAACUGGCGCUGUGGGAUGAACCAAACGCUGGGUUAAGGUGCCUAACUUUUCUCUCAUGAGACCCCAUAAAAGGCGUUGGUUGAUAUAGACAGCAGGACGGUGGCCAUGGAAGUCGGUACCCGCUAAGGAGUGUGUAACAACUCACCUGCCGAAUCAACUAGCCCUGAAAAUGGAUGGCGCUUUGAGCGAAAGACCUAUACCCGGCCGUUACUGGCUUGUGCGAUGGCUAAUGCCUGGCCGUAACGAGUA
Molecule: non-coding RNA, 1420 nt
Organism: Heterorhabditis bacteriophora
Lineage: Eukaryota; Metazoa; Nematoda; Chromadorea; Rhabditida; Heterorhabditidae
Source: Rfam